GAUGAAGAACGUAGCGAAAUGCGAUACGUAGUGUGAAUUGCAGAAUUCAGUGAAUCAUCGAAUCUUUGAACGCACAUUGCACCUCUCGGUAUUCCGGGAGGUAUGCCUGUUCGAGCGUCAUUUGUACCCUCAAGCUCUGCUUGGUGUUGGGUGUUUGUUCCGCCUCUGUGUGUGAACUCGCCUCAAAACAAUUGGCAGCCGGCGUACUUGUUUCGGAGCGCAGCACAUUUUGCGAUCCAGAUCAACGUACAGCGGCAUCCAAGAAGCCUUAUUUAACGCUCUUGACCUGGAUCAGGUAGGGAUACCCGCUGAACUUAAGCAUAUCAAUAAGCGGAGGA
RNAcentral lists this unclassified non-coding RNA (338 nucleotides) under soil metagenome. Its description in RNAcentral is "partial contains 5.8S ribosomal RNA, internal transcribed spacer 2, and large subunit ribosomal RNA". The stretch from base 1 to 120 matches the Rfam family "5.8S ribosomal RNA", at positions 35 to 154 of the family's 154-position model. The record is from RNAcentral.